UACGGAGGGUGCGAGCGUUGUCCGGAAUCAUUGGGCGUAAAGGGCGCGUAGGUGGCCCGGUCAGUUCGUGGUGAAAGCUCGUGGCUCAACUGCGAGUCGGCCAUAGAUACUCCUAAGCUCGAGUCGACUAGAGGCAGAUGGAAUUCCGGGUGUAGCGGUGGAAUGCGUAGAGAUCCGGAAGAACACCGGUGGCGAAGGCGGUCUGCUGGGGUCGAACUGACGCUGAGGCGCGACAGCGUGGGGAGCAAACAGG
This 253-nucleotide ribosomal RNA is filed under the name uncultured bacterium. Its description in RNAcentral is "partial 16S ribosomal RNA". It matches the Rfam family "Bacterial small subunit ribosomal RNA", at positions 524 to 776 of the family's 1533-position model. The record is from RNAcentral.